CAUUUAUGGAGAGUUUGAUCCUGGCUCAGGACGAACGCUGGCGGCGUGCUUAACACAUGCAAGUCGAA
Molecule: ribosomal RNA, 68 nt
Filed under: Actinomycetota bacterium
Lineage: Bacteria; Bacillati; Actinomycetota
Description: Actinobacteria bacterium partial 16S ribosomal RNA
Rfam family: Bacterial small subunit ribosomal RNA
Source: RNAcentral